GAGGAAUGUGGGGUGUGCCCGCGCCUCACACAAAGGCGGCGGUUGGGCGGGAGGCGCAUGCGCAGGGAGGGGUUGGCGCACCCACGUGGUGCUGGGUGAGGUAAAUACGGAGGAGCGUUGUCUGUGGGGGAGCUCGUAGCUGUGCGAGGGGGAGCGAUGGGGCUCGGUGUGCCUCAGGGGCAGGAGGUGGGGGUCUCCGCCUGAGAGGUUACUGGGGCUGCUGCUGAGCGUCCUGAGCGAGGCAGAGCCGUGCUGGCUUUGGGAGGCGCUCAGCUGGGAGCUGUGAGGCAGGCACUGCCUGUUGGCUGGGCGGAAGGGCCCUGCUGAGCAGCGCUGAGCGCUGUGCCCUUCCCUCAUGCUGCCCGGUGCGCGGGGAGCCGUGCCCUGCUCCUCAUCCCUGUGAGGUGUUCACUGGGAUCUCGUGCUUUGGCUCCCGUUACACCUACCUUAUAAACCCUACUGGCAGCGAGGCCUUGUCACCUGAAAUAAGCAAAGUUAGGCAACUCGGGGAGUGUGGGGAGGUGAGCAGCUCUGAGGUAUGGCCCUGCUGCUCCUCGUUGUGAGUUUAAUUUCUGGGCUGAGGGAAAUUAGUUUGUAAGCUAGGUGCGAGGUGAGCUGUGCCCAGCAUGGCUUUGUUGUGAACGAAUUGAGCCAAUCUCAUCUCCAUCUCUGGCAGUGCAGCAGCUUGCAGUUCUACAGCUUCUCCAGCCAUUCUAUUUCUGCACACUAGUUGGUUUUGUUGUCAUCUUUUUUGCAAGAUCAUCUCCUUUAGAGGCUUAUUGUGGAGACUGAAAAUUCUGCAGAACGUGGUGUUUCUAUUUGGAGGACAGUUCUACAUCCAGUUACUUAAUCUGAAAAGGAACAGCAGGAUAAAUAAUCACAGAGGGGAUUUGAAGUGUUGAUGUAGAAUUAUGAGGAUCAAAAAAAGAAAUGGGAAGAUGGUAUCUACCCUGGGAGUCUGGAGAUGCUCAUGCUCUUGAGUUUUGUUGCAACACAGAAAUAAAGGGUGCAUGUUGUGGUUCUGCUCCUGACACAGCUCUUUUGCCAUGCAGGAAGCCUCUGAGGAAGGUAUGAAACAGAUUGACAGUCCAGCUAUUUAUACAGGGUAUUGAAAAGUAGGAUGUGUAGGACCUGUAUGCUGCCUUCUGAGAAAAUUUGCCUUAUCUUUAAUUUUUCUUUAUCACAGGCUGCCUUUCUAAAGAUUAGAUCCAAGUUGAUGGAAGUAAUCCCAGCUGACUUGGGCAGCGCUAGGUCAGACCAUAAACCAGGUGCUGGUAUGCUUGCUUAGUACCUCUGGAAUACUCAAAGGUAUUAUCCCUAUCUGUUAAGUCAAUAACUUUGUUCUAAUAACAUUUCAGGCUUUGAUGUCCACCCUUCAGUAGAAAAAUGUGAUUUAGGGGCAUGCAGUGGAUGGAAGGUGAAGAUAUUGCCUGAACACGAGGUAGCCUUAUACAGAAAGGCAGGAUGCUCAUCCUUACUCAGGGAGAAAAUGCUAUGCAUUAAACCCAUAUCUAGCUUUGAUAUUUCUGAAGUGUCAGUUGUCAGCACAGUGCCAAUGGAGCAAUCUGCUCAGUACUGGCAACUUUUCUCCCCUCUGUGCCAAUGACAAAUGUCAUUGACUACCUAAGGGGAAACUAGCCUCCUCUUGUGUUGGAGACCUGGUAAGUGUGAGGGUGGAGUUGUGCAAUAAAUGGAAGAAGGGAUAAAGAGAGAAAAUGGAGGAAUUCCUCAGGGUGCCAUCUGUGAUGUAAAUUACCAAAGAGACAUAGAGAAAGUAGAUUUCUUCUUCUGUGGGUUAAUUUUACUAGACUGCAGUCAGUCAGAACUAACAAGCAUGCUGCUUUUCAGGAUUGUAAAAGCAAAGCAAGUGCUAACAUGUUAUUAACAGCGUUCUUCUUAUAAAUGCUGGAGAGAAAUGCUGGAAGCCUUAGGGUAUAUAUUCCAUUUACCAAUAUAAAGGGCAGAAGGGUGGAGAGGUAACCUGGAUCAGCCACAACUUUCUUUGCUUUCUCAUCAGCUUUUCAGUGCUCAGGGACGAUUUCCUCAUGCUUGUUAGUAGUAUGGUAACAAUCAACUUUUGACUUCAUCUAAUAGCAGGCAGAUUCUUCCUAGAAAAUAAAGGAGUCCUGGAUUCCCUGAAUGCAAACUGCUCAGCUCUGGGGAUUCCAUUUAUCUCAUUAAGUGAUUUGUGGCUUAGUUUUUGGUAGCUUACUUUUCUCUAUAAAACUGUGCACUACUAAGUUGACUGGAAUUCACUCCCACUGUAUGUGUGCUGUGGAACAUUAGGACCUCUCUAUUUACCUUAAUGCUAAAUGAAGGCUAAAAUGAUGAUGCAGUCUGAGGCAGGAAUAGACCCUGUUGUUUACAGAGUCCUCGAUUCUGAGUCUGUUUUACUGGAUAUCUGUGUACAUGGAGUUGAGUAUAUAUACCAAUAUUAUUUAUUUCGAAGUUAAGCUGCAGUAGCAGCAGCUGGCUUUAGACCUGACUGAAAAUGUGUUUGAUUGCAAUCUCAACAAACAAAUAUAGUCUCUGCUCCAGAAUUUACAAUGUGUGUCUUUUUAUCUCAUGGAAAAUAUGAGCUCCACAGCUUGUUUAGUGCUUACUGUUUACUGAUACAAAUCACUGGAGGACUGUUGCUGUAAAGAAAAAUAAUAAUAAUAAUAAAAAAUAAGCACCACUCUAAGGAAGAAGAACUACAAGGGCUUUAAUAGAAAGACUGCAUUCUAACAACACACUGCCCUUCAGCAGAAGAAUAUCAAGUAAAUGUGCUGUUGUGUUCUAGAAUGCUGCACAACUGCUGUGCUAUAUAGGUUUUGUAUUAACAAACCUUAAAACUCCCAAUUUGUCAUGGAGGUUGCAGUUCACCUGCUAAAAAUGUGUCCUUUAAUCACUAGUCUGUUGCAGGUAAACGUGUUGUUUGAGUUUCUAACCUAUUUGAGUAACAGUUGCAUUUAUGGCUCAGUUCUCACAACUGAUGUCCCAUAAUUGCAGCUGAGAAAUGCUUCUUGUGGUGUCAGUCCAUUCCAGAACUCGUAUUCUUUUCCUUGCAGAUGUUUGUGUGUGUAGUCUAUCCUUCAUGGAAAUGAACUGCAGGCUGUGGUGAAUGUUAAAAUAGCUUCUUAGAUCUCUGCACAGAAUGAAAUGGCAGUUGCCCUGCAGCUAACUGAAAAACAUGGCUUCAAUGUGAGAAGUAACUGAAGCACACAUUGGCAGUGGGUGGCAGAAGGGCCCAAGGUUUCAAAAGCAAACUGCAUGGGACCGCUGAAGAAACAGUCCAUUGAAAACCCACCUCAUGUAAGUUUUAGGCAAAGGUGGUCUCCAGCCCUUUCAAGCAGAAUUUCAAGUUGCUGAGCUCAUCCUCCAGCACCACUUGGUACUACUCAGGGUAGCACUUCCAUUGCCAGGAUCCAGCUCAGUAGAACAGUCCAUCUUUGCUCUCAUCAUUUGGCCCAAGCACACCUCAGCACCCAGCAAGUUCCCUCAUUCCUACUGAAGAGAUGGGAAUCCAGUGUUCAUCCUGAGUACCCUGCUACACCUUCUGCUUCCGUUUCCAUUUGCAAGAAGUGUUUGCUGCUUCUGUGGAAUUUAUUAAAGAUUUCUUUAAUAAAACUACUGUUG
This 3618-nucleotide long non-coding RNA is filed under the name Gallus gallus (chicken). The record is from RNAcentral. Lineage: Eukaryota; Metazoa; Chordata; Aves; Galliformes; Phasianidae.